CAUUAGCCGCUGCAAAAGUAUCAGAAUUGUUCACUUCUCUCAUUGACUUCUCAAACCACGGCUUGGUCUGCUUCACAGGCGUUCUCUGAAGUCUCGCGUUGUUACGUCUCUGGGUUUAGAAACUGGUAGUGGGGAGAAGGCAGUUCCGCGCAGGCGCUCAUCAUUCUUCAGAAUAAAAGAUACGUCAGAAUUGUGCAGUCGAGAUGACAAUUUCUGCGUCGGUUUCAAGUCUAUUACUACUGAUUAAGUCUGAGGCCGGUGAUAUCAACAGUGAGGACAAACCCAGCCUGCCUCUCUCCAUCCAAACUGAGUCCAAACUUACAGUCACUGUGUCCUGAUUGUGACAGUGGAGCCCAGUUUGCACUGCAGGGUCCAGAGAUGGCAUCAGUGAAGCUGGAAGACUGCAGUCAAACACUGGAGUUGAAUGUUAACAUUAAAGAUGAAGAAGAGGAGGAGGAGAUUGGGACAUCUGUUUCUCAUGGUAUGAGGCCGGUAACAUCAACAGUGACGACAGACCCAGCCUUCCUCUCUCCUUCCACACUGAGUCCAAACCUACAGUCACUGGGUCCUGAUUGUGACAGUGGAGC
This is a non-coding RNA of Salmo salar (Atlantic salmon), 587 nucleotides long. The record is from RefSeq and is a predicted model, not a curated record. Lineage: Eukaryota; Metazoa; Chordata; Actinopteri; Salmoniformes; Salmonidae.